This 497-nucleotide ribosomal RNA is filed under the name uncultured bacterium. RNAcentral describes it as "partial 16S ribosomal RNA". It matches the Rfam family "Bacterial small subunit ribosomal RNA", at positions 28 to 507 of the family's 1533-position model. The record is from RNAcentral.
GAUGAACGCUGGCGGCGUGCCUAAUACAUGCAAGUCGAGCGAACAGACGAGGAGCUUGCUCCUCUGACGUUAGCCGCGGACGUGUGAGUAACACGUGGAUAACCUACCUAUAAGACUGGGAUAACUUCGGGAAACCGGAGCUAAUACCGGAUAAUAUAUUGAACCGCAGGGUUCAAUAGUGAAAGACGGUGUUGCUGUCACUUAUAGAUGGAUCCGCGCCGGAUUAGCUAGUUGGUAAGGUAACGGCUUACCAAGGCAACGAUGCGUAGCCGACCUGAGAGGGUGAUCGGCCACACUGGAACUGAGACACGGUCCAGACUCCUACGGGAGGCAGCAGUAGGGAAUCUUACGCAAUGGGCGAAAGCUUGACGGAGCAACGCCGCGUGAGUGAUAAAGGUCUUCGGAUCGUAAAACUCUGUUACUAGGGAAGAACAAAUGUGUAAGUAACUAUGCACGUCUUGACGGUACCUAAUCAGAAAGCCACGGCUAACUACGUG